Long non-coding RNA from Leptidea sinapis, 1090 nucleotides. RefSeq lists it as uncharacterized. Lineage: Eukaryota; Metazoa; Arthropoda; Insecta; Lepidoptera; Pieridae. The transcript is spliced from 3 exons. The record is from RefSeq and is a predicted model, not a curated record.
UAGUGCCGUAAAGACGUGUUUUGUGUGCUAUAAUUGUGGGUGGAAUGUUGAUUUAACUAUUUAUCUAAAUAUUAUAACGUGUAUUGCUGUAAAUAUUUCUUUGAGUAAAAUAACUCUUAAAAGAGUGAUAUAAUUCGUUAUAUAGAGGUGACUGCAUAAAAUCAACGUAAGCUGGUACAUUCAGACAAAAAUAUCAAAUGAGUGAAAAGAACACUUAUUGAUGUUUAAAACACAUCACCCGACGAUCGAAAACAAGAAUUGAGACAGAUUAAUGAAGCAAUCUAAGAUAAUUUAUACGUCUAGAUAGAGUUCUUGCUGUUAGACAACCGAAAAAAAGGCCAGGAAUAUUAGUUUUUCUCCUCUCAAUAGCGAAACAAUUCCUAUAACGUGAACGCUGAAGUAUAACCACAUAUGCUGUGUUUAACAUCAAUACUAUUAUAACCUUUUUUUUGGGUGAUUACUACAAUUUUUUUAAAGGGCUUAGUUACCACUAACGCAAAUAUUAUGGCGAGUAAAAGAAAGAGUCUAUGUGUUAACGACAAGGUGUGCCUUAUUCGGGCGAUACAAAAAGGUGAAAGGAUAAGUGAAGUUGGGAAACGUUUUGGCUUCAGUCCCUCUACUGUAGCUACUGUAUGGAAGAAUAAAGAGAAAUUUCUAAAGGCAGGGAUGGAAGGGAAAACUUUAAAAAAGUUAAAGCGGCCGAAAUAUCAGGAUCUAGAUCAGGCUAUGUUUUCAUGGGUUUGUGAACGCCGUCAGAAUAAUUUGCCGAUGUCAGGACCAAUUUUAAAAGCUCAAGCAGAGAAGUGUGCCAAAGAACUUAGAUUAACUAAUUUCAAAGCAUCAGGAGGAUGGCUCGAGAAAUUCAAACAGCGCCACCAUGUCAACUAUGGUAAAGCACGAGAUGUCAGUACGGUUGUUACUCAUGACAAUAGUAAAGAAAUCUCGGAUUCUAUUGCCGAUGCUCAGCCGAGUACUUCAACAACUACAACUGGAGAUGAGAAGAAUAAUGAUGAUAAAAUUAUAAUCUCAUCUAGCGAUCUGAUGACUUAUGACACUUGGGAUGAUCCUACUAUCAAAUUAGAAUUCGAAA